Molecule: ribosomal RNA, 497 nt
Filed under: uncultured bacterium
Lineage: Bacteria
Description: partial 16S ribosomal RNA
Rfam family: Bacterial small subunit ribosomal RNA
Source: RNAcentral
GAUGAACGCUGGCGGCGUGCCUAAUACAUGCAAGUCGAGCGAACAGACGAGGAGCUUGCUCCUCUGACGUUAGCGGCGGACGGGUGAGUAACACGUGGAUAACCUACCUAUAAGACUGGGAUAACUUCGGGAAACCGGAGCUAAUACCGGAUAAUAUAUUGAACCGCAUGGUUCAAUAGUGAAAGACGGUUUUGCUGUCACUUAUAGAUGGAUCCGCGCCGCAUUAGCUAGUUGGUAAGGUAACGGCUUACCAAGGCAACGAUGCGUAGCCGACCUGAGAGGGUGAUCGGCCACACUGGAACUGAGACACUGUCCAGACUCCUACGGGAGGCAGCAGUAGGGAAUCUUCCGCAAUGGGCGAAAGCCUGACGGAGCAACGCCGCGUGAGUGAUGAAGGUCUUCGGAUCGUAAAACUCUGUUAUUCGGGAAGAACAAAUGUGUAAGUAACUAUGCACGUCUUGACGGUACCUAAUCAGAAAGCCACGGCUAACUACGUG